This 253-nucleotide ribosomal RNA is filed under the name uncultured bacterium. RNAcentral describes it as "partial 16S ribosomal RNA". It matches the Rfam family "Bacterial small subunit ribosomal RNA", at positions 524 to 776 of the family's 1533-position model. The record is from RNAcentral.
UACAGAGGUGGCAAGCGUUGUUCGGAAUUACUGGGCGUAAAGGGUUCGUAGGUGGCCAACUAAGUCAGACGUGAAAUCCCUCAGCUUAACUGGGGAACUGCGUCUGAUACUGGAUGGCUUGAGUGCAGGAGAGGAAUGCGGAAUUCCAGGUGUAGCGGUGAAAUGCGUAGAUAUCUGGAGGAACACCGGUGGCGAAGGCGGCAUUCUGGACUGUAACUGACACUGAUGAACGAAAGCCAGGGGAGCAAACGGG